GUAGUGUGAUGUAGAGUUUAUGG
Molecule: non-coding RNA, 23 nt
Filed under: Arabidopsis thaliana (thale cress)
Lineage: Eukaryota; Viridiplantae; Streptophyta; Magnoliopsida; Brassicales; Brassicaceae
Source: RNAcentral